GUUUGAUCAUGGCUCAGAUUGAACGCUGGCGGCAUGCCUAACACAUGCAAGUCGCACGCGAAAGGGGGCAAUCCUGAGUAGAGUGGCGGACGGGUGCGUAACGCGUAGGAAUCUACCUCGUAGUGGGGGACAACCCGGUGAAAACCGGGCUAAUACCGCAUACGAUCCAUGGAUGAAAGCAGGGGACCGCAGGGCCUUGCGCUAUGAGAUGAGCCUGCGUCGGAUUAGCUAGUUGGUGAGGUAAUGGCUCACCAAGGCAACGAUCCGUAGCUGGUCUGAGAGGACGACCAUCCACCCUGGGACUGAGACACGGCCCACACUCCUACUGGAGGCAGCAGUGGGGAAUAUUGGACAAUGGGGGCAACCCUGAUCCACCAAUGCCGCGUGUGUAAAGAAGGCCUUCGGGUUGUAAAGCACUUUCUAUGGGGAAAAACAAGUUCGACCUUAUACCUCGGACCCUGAUGGUACCCACAGAAAAAACACCGGCUAACUCUGUGCCAGCAGCCGCGGUAAUACAGAGGGUGCAAGCGUUAAUCGGAAUUACUGGGCGUAAAGCGCACGUACGUGGUUUGGUAAGUCGAGUGUGAAAUCCCCGGCCUCACUCUGGGCACUGCAUUCGACACUGCCAAGCUAGAGUAUGGUAGAGGGUAGUGGAAUUUCACUGUGUAGCUAUGAAAUGCGUAGAUAUCGGGAUGAACAUCACUGGCGAAGGCGACUACCUGCUCCUGAUACUGACUCUGACGUGCGAAAGCGUGCGGAGCAAACAGGAUUACAUACCCUGGGUGCCCACUCCCUAGACUAUGUCCACUAGCCGUUGGUGAGGUUAAACUCAUUACUGGCGUAUCUACUUUAUAAGUUGACCGCC
This 865-nucleotide ribosomal RNA is filed under the name uncultured bacterium. RNAcentral's name for it is "bacterial SSU rRNA". It matches the Rfam family "Bacterial small subunit ribosomal RNA", at positions 11 to 873 of the family's 1533-position model. The record is from RNAcentral.